This 2901-nucleotide ribosomal RNA is filed under the name Escherichia coli. Its description in RNAcentral is "bacterial LSU rRNA". It matches the Rfam family "Bacterial large subunit ribosomal RNA". The record is from RNAcentral. Lineage: Bacteria; Pseudomonadati; Pseudomonadota; Gammaproteobacteria; Enterobacterales; Enterobacteriaceae.
UUAAGCGACUAAGCGUACACGGUGGAUGCCCUGGCAGUCAGAGGCGAUGAAGGACGUGCUAAUCUGCGAUAAGCGUCGGUAAGGUGAUAUGAACCGUUAUAACCGGCGAUUUCCGAAUGGGGAAACCCAGUGUGUUUCGACACACUAUCAUUAACUGAAUCCAUAGGUUAAUGAGGCGAACCGGGGGAACUGAAACAUCUAAGUACCCCGAGGAAAAGAAAUCAACCGAGAUUCCCCCAGUAGCGGCGAGCGAACGGGGAGCAGCCCAGAGCCUGAAUCAGUGUGUGUGUUAGUGGAAGCGUCUGGAAAGGCGCGCGAUACAGGGUGACAGCCCCGUACACAAAAAUGCACAUGCUGUGAGCUCGAUGAGUAGGGCGGGACACGUGGUAUCCUGUCUGAAUAUGGGGGGACCAUCCUCCAAGGCUAAAUACUCCUGACUGACCGAUAGUGAACCAGUACCGUGAGGGAAAGGCGAAAAGAACCCCGGCGAGGGGAGUGAAAAAGAACCUGAAACCGUGUACGUACAAGCAGUGGGAGCACGCUUCGGCGUGUGACUGCGUACCUUUUGUAUAAUGGGUCAGCGACUUAUAUUCUGUAGCAAGGUUAACCGAAUAGGGGAGCCGAAGGGAAACCGAGUCUUAACUGGGCGUUAAGUUGCAGGGUAUAGACCCGAAACCCGGUGAUCUAGCCAUGGGCAGGUUGAAGGUUGGGUAACACUAACUGGAGGACCGAACCGACUAAUGUUGAAAAAUUAGCGGAUGACUUGUGGCUGGGGGUGAAAGGCCAAUCAAACCGGGAGAUAGCUGGUUCUCCCCGAAAGCUAUUUAGGUAGCGCCUCGUGAAUUCAUCUCCGGGGGUAGAGCACUGUUUCGGCAAGGGGGUCAUCCCGACUUACCAACCCGAUGCAAACUGCGAAUACCGGAGAAUGUUAUCACGGGAGACACACGGCGGGUGCUAACGUCCGUCGUGAAGAGGGAAACAACCCAGACCGCCAGCUAAGGUCCCAAAGUCAUGGUUAAGUGGGAAACGAUGUGGGAAGGCCCAGACAGCCAGGAUGUUGGCUUAGAAGCAGCCAUCAUUUAAAGAAAGCGUAAUAGCUCACUGGUCGAGUCGGCCUGCGCGGAAGAUGUAACGGGGCUAAACCAUGCACCGAAGCUGCGGCAGCGACACUGUGUGUUGUUGGGUAGGGGAGCGUUCUGUAAGCCUGUGAAGGUGUACUGUGAGGUAUGCUGGAGGUAUCAGAAGUGCGAAUGCUGACAUAAGUAACGAUAAAGCGGGUGAAAAGCCCGCUCGCCGGAAGACCAAGGGUUCCUGUCCAACGUUAAUCGGGGCAGGGUGAGUCGACCCCUAAGGCGAGGCCGAAAGGCGUAGUCGAUGGGAAACAGGUUAAUAUUCCUGUACUUGGUGUUACUGCGAAGGGGGGACGGAGAAGGCUAUGUUGGCCGGGCGACGGUUGUCCCGGUUUAAGCGUGUAGGCUGGUUUUCCAGGCAAAUCCGGAAAAUCAAGGCUGAGGCGUGAUGACGAGGCACUACGGUGCUGAAGCAACAAAUGCCCUGCUUCCAGGAAAAGCCUCUAAGCAUCAGGUAACAUCAAAUCGUACCCCAAACCGACACAGGUGGUCAGGUAGAGAAUACCAAGGCGCUUGAGAGAACUCGGGUGAAGGAACUAGGCAAAAUGGUGCCGUAACUUCGGGAGAAGGCACGCUGAUAUGUAGGUGAAGCGACUUGCUCGUGGAGCUGAAAUCAGUCGAAGAUACCAGCUGGCUGCAACUGUUUAUUAAAAACACAGCACUGUGCAAACACGAAAGUGGACGUAUACGGUGUGACGCCUGCCCGGUGCCGGAAGGUUAAUUGAUGGGGUUAGCGCAAGCGAAGCUCUUGAUCGAAGCCCCGGUAAACGGCGGCCGUAACUAUAACGGUCCUAAGGUAGCGAAAUUCCUUGUCGGGUAAGUUCCGACCUGCACGAAUGGCGUAAUGAUGGCCAGGCUGUCUCCACCCGAGACUCAGUGAAAUUGAACUCGCUGUGAAGAUGCAGUGUACCCGCGGCAAGACGGAAAGACCCCGUGAACCUUUACUAUAGCUUGACACUGAACAUUGAGCCUUGAUGUGUAGGAUAGGUGGGAGGCUUUGAAGUGUGGACGCCAGUCUGCAUGGAGCCGACCUUGAAAUACCACCCUUUAAUGUUUGAUGUUCUAACGUGGACCCGUGAUCCGGGUUGCGGACAGUGUCUGGUGGGUAGUUUGACUGGGGCGGUCUCCUCCUAAAGAGUAACGGAGGAGCACGAAGGUUGGCUAAUCCUGGUCGGACAUCAGGAGGUUAGUGCAAUGGCAUAAGCCAGCUUGACUGCGAGCGUGACGGCGCGAGCAGGUGCGAAAGCAGGUCAUAGUGAUCCGGUGGUUCUGAAUGGAAGGGCCAUCGCUCAACGGAUAAAAGGUACUCCGGGGAUAACAGGCUGAUACCGCCCAAGAGUUCAUAUCGACGGCGGUGUUUGGCACCUCGAUGUCGGCUCAUCACAUCCUGGGGCUGAAGUAGGUCCCAAGGGUAUGGCUGUUCGCCAUUUAAAGUGGUACGCGAGCUGGGUUUAGAACGUCGUGAGACAGUUCGGUCCCUAUCUGCCGUGGGCGCUGGAGAACUGAGGGGGGCUGCUCCUAGUACGAGAGGACCGGAGUGGACGCAUCACUGGUGUUCGGGUUGUCAUGCCAAUGGCACUGCCCGGUAGCUAAAUGCGGAAGAGAUAAGUGCUGAAAGCAUCUAAGCACGAAACUUGCCCCGAGAUGAGUUCUCCCUGACCCUUUAAGGGUCCUGAAGGAACGUUGAAGACGACGACGUUGAUAGGCCGGGUGUGUAAGCGCAGCGAUGCGUUGAGCUAACCGGUACUAAUGAACCGUGAGGCUUAACCUU